This 261-nucleotide ribosomal RNA is filed under the name uncultured prokaryote. Its description in RNAcentral is "partial 16S ribosomal RNA". It matches the Rfam family "Bacterial small subunit ribosomal RNA", at positions 524 to 784 of the family's 1533-position model. The record is from RNAcentral.
GACGUAGGGCGCAAGCGUUGUCCGGAUUUAUUGGGCGUAAAGAGCUCGUAGGCGGCCUGUCGCGUCGAUCGUGAAAGUCCACGGCUCAACUGUGGGAUUGCGGUCGAUACGGGCAGGCUAGAGUGCGGCAGGGGAGACUGGAAUUCCUGGUGUAGCGGUGAAAUGCGCAGAUAUCAGGAGGAACACCGGUGGCGAAGGCGGGUCUCUGGGCCGUUACUGACGCUGAGGAGCGAAAGCGUGGGGAGCGAACAGGAUUAGAUA